UACGGAGGGUGCGAGCGUUGUUCGGAAUCACUGGGCGUAAAGCGCGUGUAGGCGGCCUUUUAAGUCCGAUGUGAAAGCCCGGGGCUCACCCCCGGAAGUGCAUUGGAUACUGAUUGGCCGGAGUACCGGAGAGGAGGGUGGAAUUCCUGGUGUAGCGGUGAAAUGCGUAGAUAUUGGGAGGAACACCGGUGGCGAAGGCGGCCCCCUGGACAACUCCUGACACUGAGGCACGAAAGCUAGGGGAGCAAACAGG
RNAcentral lists this ribosomal RNA (253 nucleotides) under uncultured bacterium. RNAcentral's name for it is "partial 16S ribosomal RNA". It matches the Rfam family "Bacterial small subunit ribosomal RNA", at positions 524 to 776 of the family's 1533-position model. The record is from RNAcentral.